This 116-nucleotide ribosomal RNA is filed under the name Gammaproteobacteria bacterium. Lineage: Bacteria; Pseudomonadati; Pseudomonadota; Gammaproteobacteria. The record is from RNAcentral.
CCUGACGACAAUAGCGAGCGUGAACCACCUGAUUCCAUCCCGAACUCAGAAGUGAAACUGCUCAGCGCCGAUGGUAGUGUGGGGUUUCCCCAUGUGAGAGUAGGUCAUUGUCAGGC